This 69-nucleotide transfer RNA is filed under the name Siphlonurus aestivalis. RNAcentral describes it as "tRNA-Lys". The record is from RNAcentral. Lineage: Eukaryota; Metazoa; Arthropoda; Insecta; Ephemeroptera; Siphlonuridae.
CACUAGAUGUCUGAAAACAAGUAAUGGUCUCUUAAACCACUCAUAGUAGAUUAGUACCUACUUCUAGUG